Schistosoma mansoni is the source of this 45-nucleotide non-coding RNA. The record is from Rfam. Lineage: Eukaryota; Metazoa; Platyhelminthes; Trematoda; Strigeidida; Schistosomatidae.
AUCCAGUUGAAGAGUCCGAGAUAGGACAAAACACGCAUCCUGGAU